Molecule: non-coding RNA, 1266 nt
Organism: Salvia hispanica
Lineage: Eukaryota; Viridiplantae; Streptophyta; Magnoliopsida; Lamiales; Lamiaceae
Source: RefSeq, a predicted model, not a curated record
AAAAUAUUCGCUUUUCCCCGUUCGUAUUCUUGUCGAAAUUUUAAUUCCGUAAAAUGAAUAAUUGUGAAUUUAAUUUUAAUUUCUCUUUUAUGACGUGGCAGGAAGUUUUUGUGGAAAGUCCUAAUGGGAGGGGCACCACCCUCUAAGUUAUUUUCUUCUAUUUUCUGUGGGACGAGUAGCGGCGGCGGCAUUGUAGUUUGAGAAAGUCGGCAUGAGAGCUAAGUGGAAGAAGAAGCGUAUGAGGAGGUUGAAGAGGAAGCGCCGAAAGAUGAGGCAGAGAUCUAAGUAGUUUUGUUUUUUGAUUUCUAGGGUUUGAAAUUUAGUUCGAUUAUAAUUUUCUUUCAUUUUGAAUCGCACUUUGUUAUGCGUUUUAUUGGAUGGUUGAGUUUGAGUAUUUUCUUUAUAUUCAGUUUCCACUUCGUUGUGAUUGCUUAGUUUCUGUCCAAUUUGAUUGAUUUUUUUCAACAAAGUUUUCUCUUUUGUUAUAGUUGGACUUUGGUCCACAAGAAAUUCUGCAAACUUACAAACACUGGUCUUUUAUUUCCAUUUCCGCAAUAUUGAUCAUGCCUUGUGUGAUAAGUUCUGAUAAAACUGAGAAACCAAAACUCAUGAUCACAUCUAAUCAGAAAGGUGAUACUACUGUAUUUCAGUGGACCAUUUGUGAUAAUUUCUCGCAUUUGUGUUCUGGCCUUGAUCUCAGUGAAGAAUCUGGCCUUGAUUUCAGUGAAGAAUCGAUCUCUCUCUGUUCUCCAUUUCUUCUCUGCUGCAGAUAAUGAACUUACGGGGAGAUUCUUCUGUCAUUUUGAAACUUUGUCGACUCUUGAUCUCAGCCGGAGUUCUCUGCAAGGAAAAAGCUUCCUAAAUUUCUGACUCAAUGCAGUGAGCUAGAAUGCAUUACAUGACGCUCUCCCCUGCUGGCUUGAAGCUUUGCCUAGGCUUUGUAUUCUUGUUUACUACAGAGAUUCACCUUGAUCGACUUGUCACGCAACCAUCUCCAAGGAAUGAUGCCAGAAGAAAUUGGAGAACUUGUUCUACAAUGCUCUCUCCGGCCAUUUCCCAACAUCGAUGGGAAAUCUAGAGCAACUCAGAUCAUUAGAUCUGUCUUUCAACACUCUAGGGGGAGAAAUCCUGCAUCAGCUUGAUGAUUUGAAACUCCGUUUGUAGGCGACGAAAUGCUCUGUGGCUUCGCUGUAAACAAUACCUGCAUUGAUGAUGGACCAUUUUGUGUUGAUUAAGAAAUGUUAACUGAUCAGUGUGUGUUUUACA